Molecule: ribosomal RNA, 447 nt
Filed under: uncultured bacterium
Lineage: Bacteria
Description: partial 16S ribosomal RNA
Rfam family: Bacterial small subunit ribosomal RNA
Source: RNAcentral
AGUGAUCAUUGGUGGCAGGCUUAACACAUGCAAGUCGAACGGUCCUUCGGGAUAGUGGCGGACGGGUGAGUAACACGUGGGAACGUACCCUUAGGUUCGGAACAACACAGGGAAACUUGUGCUAAUACCGGAUAAGCCCUUCGGGGGAAAGAUUUAUCGCCUUUGGAGCGGCCCGCGUCUGAUUAGUUUGUUGGUGAGGUAAUGGCUCACCAAGGCUACGAUCAGUAGCUGGUCUGAGAGGAUGGCCAGCCACACUGGGACUGAGACACGGCCCAGACUCCUACGGGAGGCAGCAGUGGGGAAUCUUGCGCAAUGGGCGAAAGCCUGACGCAGCCAUGCCGCGUGGGUGAUGAAGGUCUUAGGAUUGUAAAAUCCUUUCACCGGGGACGAUAAUGACGGUACCCGGAGAAGAAGCCCCGGCUAACUUCGUGCCAGCCGUCGCCGUAA